AACGAACGCUGGCGGCAUGCCUAACACAUGCAAGUCGAACGAGACCUUCGGGUCUAGUGGCGCACGGGUGCGUAACGCGUGGGAAUCUACCCUUGGUUCGGAAUAACAGUUAGAAAUGACUGCUAAUACCGGAUGAUGACGUAAGUCCAAAGAUUUAUCGCCCAAGGAUGAGCCCGCGUAAGAUUAGCUUGUUGGUGGGGUAAUGGCCUACCAAGGCGACGAUCUUUAGCUGGUCUGAGAGGAUGAUCAGCCACACUGGGACUGAGACACGGCCCAGACUCCUACGGGAGGCAGCAGUGGGGAAUAUUGGACAAUGGGCGAAAGCCUGAUCCAGCAAUGCCGCGUGAGUGAUGAAGGCCUUAGGGUUGUAAAGCUCUUUUACCAGGGAUGAUAAUGACAGUACCUGGAGAAUAAGCUCCGGCUAACUCCGUGCCAGCCGCCGCCGUAA
RNAcentral lists this ribosomal RNA (448 nucleotides) under uncultured bacterium. Its description in RNAcentral is "partial 16S ribosomal RNA". It matches the Rfam family "Bacterial small subunit ribosomal RNA", at positions 29 to 523 of the family's 1533-position model. The record is from RNAcentral.